GUUUGAGUAUGACGUGAAUGUUAAAGAAGCUAUUAUUUCUGAAGAAGUUAACCAAUUCAUGGAUACCGUUUAAUUUCCAACCAGUGAAGAUCGAAGGUCAGUUUCAAGCAGUGAGUUAAGUAAAUCGUUGGGGAUGAUUUUGGUUGUACAUUUCAUCAGAUCAAGAUUGAGAACCUUGAGCCGUUAUGGUUGUGACUAGCAAGGACAGAAUGGUCGUGAUUGUCAAAGUGUGGAAAAUCCUGGAACGUUUACAUCAUUCACACUUUGGUGGUUCUUGUGAAGAGUUAGGAUUUUAGGUUACCCUUCCUCAUGAAGUUACCCGAUCUAUGUUACCUAUACCUAGGAUACCACUUGUUGAACUUGUUCGCUUUUCCUUACCGUUAGUCCACAUCCAAGU
RNAcentral lists this long non-coding RNA (397 nucleotides) under Brassica napus (rape). RNAcentral's name for it is "long non-coding RNA (BNAP_LNC026037)". The record is from RNAcentral. Lineage: Eukaryota; Viridiplantae; Streptophyta; Magnoliopsida; Brassicales; Brassicaceae.